Molecule: long non-coding RNA, 812 nt
Organism: Acromyrmex echinatior (Panamanian leafcutter ant)
Lineage: Eukaryota; Metazoa; Arthropoda; Insecta; Hymenoptera; Formicidae
Source: RefSeq, a predicted model, not a curated record
GGCUUGUGCCAGUGCUGAAAAUAUAUAGUGCACGUAAUGUUUAUUAUACUAUUAAUAGCUAACAAUUAAAUAUUGGAACACAAUCUAUCCGUUAGCUCGGUCUAAAGAUACUGGUAGUGUCUCGGCGCUAAACUACGCGUAGCGACACUGUUGUGGUUAGCUUAAUCGGAGAUCCGAGAGGUAUUAACGCGCGAAUUUGAAGAUGAGUAAACACGGAAAAUAUAAAAAACACUAUUGCAAAGAAUGGGAAUCGCAAAAGAAAAGAUUUUUACAGAUUGGCUAGAAGAGAACAAAGACACGUUUGUCACAAUCGAUAACAAAGAGGCUCGAUGUAAAGUAUGAAAUAAAUUUACGCGCACAACAUGCAAAUCUUAUAAAACAUGCCAACCGAACUCUUUAUAAACGAAAUAUGAAUAAAUAUGCGUGUUUAGCCUAAAUUAAAAUAUGAUGCAAUUGCAGCCACUAUAGAAGCUAUAGAUAUCAAACUUACUGUUCACUUAUAGUAGACGAAUCCACUGACUUGUCAGUGUAUAAAUAUCUCGCAUUCUGUAUCCAAAACUUCAGUAAAAAGAGACAGCAAAUUAUUACCGACUUUCUUGGCUGUAUCAGCUUAACUGAAGCUAGUGCAAAAGAUCUUUACAGUAAAGCUACAAUAGAAUAUCUUGCAACUAUAAAACUUGAUGUUAAAAAUAUGGUAGGAUUCGGUACUGAUAACGCGAGCACUAUGAUUGGCUGCAAUCAUUCCCUAUAUAGACUUCUCUAUGAUCGUCAUGAAUGUAUGAAAUCAAAAAUAUAUGCUUAUCUCUUUCAAA